GUCCACGCUGUAAACGAUGGGUGCUAGGUGUGGGCGGUGUCGACUCCGUCCGUGCCGCAGCUAACGCAUUAAGCACCCCGCCUGGGGAGUACGGCCGCAAGGCUAAACUACAAAGGAAUUGACGGGGGCCCGGCACAAGCAGCGGAGCAUGUGGUUUAAUUUCGACGCGACGCGAAGAACCUUACCAAGGCUUGACAUGCACUGGAAUGUCGUAGAAAUACGGCAGCCCUUCGGGGCCGGUGCACAGGUGGUGCAUGGCUGUCGU
RNAcentral lists this ribosomal RNA (265 nucleotides) under uncultured bacterium. RNAcentral's name for it is "partial 16S ribosomal RNA". It matches the Rfam family "Bacterial small subunit ribosomal RNA", at positions 793 to 1055 of the family's 1533-position model. The record is from RNAcentral.